This is a non-coding RNA of Triticum urartu, 74 nucleotides long. The record is from the annotation of a RefSeq genome assembly. Lineage: Eukaryota; Viridiplantae; Streptophyta; Magnoliopsida; Poales; Poaceae.
GGGUCCAUAGCUCAGUGGUAGAGCAAUUGACUGCAGAUCAAUAGGCCACCGGUUCGAACCCGGUUGUGGGCCCU